RNAcentral lists this ribosomal RNA (879 nucleotides) under uncultured bacterium. RNAcentral describes it as "bacterial SSU rRNA". It matches the Rfam family "Bacterial small subunit ribosomal RNA", at positions 26 to 896 of the family's 1533-position model. The record is from RNAcentral.
AGAUUGAACGCUGGCGGCAUGCCUAACACAUGCAAGUCGAACGGAAACGAUGGAAGCUUGCUUCCAGGCGUCGAGUGGCGGACGGGUGAGUAAUACUUAGGAACCUACCCAGUAGCGGGGGACAACUCGAGGAAACUCGAGCUAAUACCGCAUACGCCCUACGGGGGAAAGCAGGGGAUCUUCGGACCUUGCACUAUUGGAUGAGCCUAAGUCGGAUUAGCUUGUUGGUGAGGUAAAGGCUCACCAAGGCGACGAUCCGUAGCUGGUUUGAGAGGACGAUCAGCCACACUGGGACUGAGACACGGCCCAGACUCCUACGGGAGGCAGCAGUGGGGAAUAUUGGACAAUGGGGGCAACCCUGAUCCAGCAAUGCCGCGUGUGUGAAGAAGGCCUGCGGGUUGUAAAGCACUUUCAGUAGAGAAGAAAAGCCUACGGUUAAUAACCGUGAGUCUUGACGUUACCUACAGAAGAAGCUCCGGCUAACUCCGUGCCAGCAGCCGCGGUAAUACGGAGGGAGCGAGCGUUAAUCGGAAUUACUGGGCGUAAAGCGCGCGUAGGCGGCUUUGUAAGUCGGAUGUGAAAGCCCUGGGCUCAACCUGGGAAUGGCAUUCGAAACUGCAUGGCUAGAGUAUGGUAGAGGGAAGUGGAAUUUCCGGUGUAGCGGUGAAAUGCGUAGAUAUCGGAAGGAACACCGGUGGCGAAGGCGACUUCCUGGGCCAAUACUGACGCUGAGGCGCGAAAGCGUGGGUAGCAAACAGGAUUAGAUACCCUGGUAGUCCACGCCGUAAACGAUGAGAACUAGAUGUCGGGGGAAUUUGUCCUUCGGUGUCGCAGCUAACGCGUUAAGUUCUCCGCCUGGGGAGUACGCCGGCAACGGUA